UCGAAUGCGAAAUGUUUUAACUCAUAAUCUAACACAAUUCUCUAUUUCCUUGCUGCAUAGAAUUUUUUGGAAUUCAACUUUCUCAAUUUGGGUUGUAAACGACGCAUUUAUGUCGUAUGAACAUUUGAAAAAGAUUAUUAAGUAAUAUAUUGAAGUUGUUUAGUGUAAAAAAAUAGUACAAAGUAUAGACAUCUCAUAUAUUUAGAGGCUAAUUACAUCCUAUCCCAGAAGUUUCCUCAAUUACAAAAAUCUCAAAUUUUUCGUUGCUCUCGAAUACAUUCCUUGGUUGUCUAAUACAUUACUAAUGAUAUAUAUUACUUCAUGGGAGGGAUGUAUCCAAGAGGGGAUAUCUAUGAUCCAAGAGGG
RNAcentral lists this long non-coding RNA (366 nucleotides) under Solanum tuberosum (potato). Its description in RNAcentral is "long non-coding RNA (STUB_LNC008108)". Lineage: Eukaryota; Viridiplantae; Streptophyta; Magnoliopsida; Solanales; Solanaceae. The record is from RNAcentral.